This 897-nucleotide long non-coding RNA is filed under the name Homo sapiens (human). RNAcentral describes it as "HSALNT0316233". Lineage: Eukaryota; Metazoa; Chordata; Mammalia; Primates; Hominidae. The record is from RNAcentral.
UUUCUGGUCCUCACUCCCAGGCUCUGUUCCAGAAAUGUCUACCAACAAGGUGAAAUGGAAUGGGAAAAGGGGAAAGGAAAUAAAUCAGACUGGUGUUUCUCCACCAGGGCCUUGUAUUAUGUAGGCUGCAAGGUAUGCUACUAUAACAAAGGGACCAAGAAACUUCAACAAGAAGAAGUUUAUCCUUAUCCAUGUAAUAACUUAGAGAUAAGUAGGCAAACUUGUCCUUGUAGUCAUCUCUGCCAUACUCAACUUAUAGCUGUGACCUUCCUGUGCAACUCUGGAAAGAUCCUCCAAUGAUUCUCAUCCACCCAUCAAGGGAAAGAAUGGCCUAUUCCCAAUCAUUUUUAGCUGUUCAAGUCUCAGAGUGGUACACAGUACUUUUUGGUUUUUUACAUCCCUUUGAGCAAAGCUUUGUGAUGUGGUUACCCUUAACUGUAAGAUAUCUGGAGAUUAUAAACUUUAGCUGGGAAGAUAUGUGACUACUUUCUACUCUAUUAUAUGGAAAGAAGAGAAUGGAUAGUAACAGACAACUAGCAAUCAGCUACAAAUCUCAACAGAGCCAGAGGCUUUACCAGCACUCACUUGCCUGUUAAUAUCAGUUGCUUCAGACUUGAAGUGUAAGAAUUGGAGGGAAAGAAAAUGGCAGAUGGUGCAACUGAUCUGCAGAGAAGCUAAUUAACUUGCCCAAAGUUAUGGAGCUAAGGAAUGGCUUUAGAAAGCAAAAGAAAAAUUUUUUAUUAAGAAAUGAAAAGAAAAAAGACGCAGUAUGGACUCAGACUGAUAAACCAUUUGCAUGAGAGAACUAUACACCAUUUGAAAAAGAGCUUUUUUGCAAGGUGUGGUGGCUAACUCCUGUAACCCUGGCAACUCGAAAGGCUGAGGCAGGAGGAUCAC